CCCCCCCGGUGCUACAUCGCCGGGGAUGGAAAGUGCCACAGAAAUUAUACCGCCUUGAAAGAGGUAAGGGUGAAAUGGUGGGGUAAAAGCCCACCGCUCCAAGGGCAACCGCGGAGGCAGGGUAAACCCCGUCCGGAGCAAGAUCAAAUAGGGAACAAGGAGCGGCCCGCUCCAUUUGAGUUCCGGGUUGAUUGCAUUAGAUAAAUGGUCGACUCCUUCGGGAGAACAGAAUCCGGCUUACGGCUCUGCCUGCGCU
This 256-nucleotide RNase P RNA is filed under the name Kiritimatiellaceae bacterium. RNAcentral's name for it is "partial RNase P RNA component class A". It matches the Rfam family "Bacterial RNase P class A", at positions 90 to 367 of the family's 367-position model. Rfam says of the family: Ribonuclease P (RNase P) is a ubiquitous endoribonuclease, found in archaea, bacteria and eukarya as well as chloroplasts and mitochondria. Its best characterised activity is the generation of mature 5'-ends of tRNAs by cleaving the 5'-leader elements of precursor-tRNAs. Lineage: Bacteria; Pseudomonadati; Kiritimatiellota; Kiritimatiellia; Kiritimatiellales; Kiritimatiellaceae. The record is from RNAcentral.